GUUACAGUAAAAGAAUCUCUGAAUCCUAACAUUACCUAAUGUUUGGCAGAGAGGCUCGCUAUCCUUCCGAAAUCCCAGAAGAGUUCAUGGUUGAUGAUAGUGUGGAAGACAUUGUGGGGCAGGAGGAGCUGUCGGAAGACAUUCAAAAGCAUCAAAAGCUGUUGGAACUGGUGAAGGACAAUGUGGUCAAAGCUCAGGAAAAAACAAAGGGCAAAAUAAAAAUGAUGAAGAGAGAUGUCGCCUUCAAAGUUGGUGACAAAGUUUUAAGAGCCAACAUAAGAAGCCAGCAGAGGAAAGGGGGAAAACUUGAAGCAAACUUUUUAGGCCCUUACGUUAUUACAGCAAUCCAAGGUAAAAGUGCAGAUCUUCAGGAUUCCAAUGGGACAAUCAUUCCAAAAGUAAAUAUUGACCAACUAAAGUUAAGCAAAGACAGCAUGCCAAGAGUGCCACACCGGGGUUCAAAGAAAACAGCAGCCACAUUACUAACAGCACAACCAGGUCCAGCAGCACCACAAGCUGCAGCAGCCCCAGCAUCUGCUCUAGCUUCACAGGCUACAGCAGCACCAGUGGCGGUAGCACCACCACCACCUCCUCCUAGAGCUACACAGCCUACAGCACCAAUGACAUCACUUACAUCACUACCAGUUCAAACACAACAUCCAUCUCCAGUUCCACAAGGUAUAGCAACAACGGUAUCAGAUCCAGAGUCAGGAGCAACAGCACAGAAAGAGAACGGACCAGCCACAAGUGCUACAGCACCAGAACACGCUACAGCUCUACAAACCGAAUCCCAAACAGCAGCAGACCCAGCCUCAAAGACCAUAACAGCAGACCAGGCCUCACAAACCACAACAGCAGACACAGCCUCACAAACCACAACAGCAGACACAGCCUCACAAACCACAACAGCAGACCAGGCCUCACAAACCACAACGGCAGCAGACCCAUCCUCAUAGACCACAACAGCAGCAGACCCAUCCUCACAGACCACAGCUCCAAAUGCUACAACCACACAAGCCUCAGCUCCACAGAUUACAGCCCAGCAACCUACAGCACAAACCAUGGAAGCAACAGUUCCACUUGUGACACCAGCCCCAGCAACAGCCGCACAAGCUAGCCCUGCACCACCUCCAGCAUCACCACCUCAAAGAUACACUGAACCUGUUGCAGAGAAAUAUAUAAUGGAUGCCUGGGCUGGAAAGAGUCCUCACUUUCUACUCUCCAAAAUUGGUGCUUACAAAUUAUUCUACUGGGAUAUCCAACAAAUUGGUCCGGACAUGGAGUUGGAAAGUGAGUCUAUUAAUGCAUAUCUUGCGAUCAUGGUGAGAUAAUGCAAUCGCCAUAAUUCAGCAAAAGCAGCAUUCAUUGAUUCAUUUUCAAUGACUGCCAUUUGGAAGAGAAAAGCUCCAAGACUCAAGAUCAAACCCAUGGAGCAUGAAGUGAUUCUGGGAAUUGUAAAUGAACAUCAUCACUGGACAUUAGUGGUCAUUUACCCACAAGAAAAGAAGUCGCUGUAUCUUGAUCCACUCGGAGAAACUAAACAAGGCAUCCAAAAUUGUUUGGAAUCAACAAGGGCAUUCAUGCGACAAAAAGGAUGCAACGUCUCAAGGUGGACUUGUGACACAGUCAAACACCCAAAACAAGUGGACGCUACCUCAUGUGGAGUCUUUGCAUUGAAAAAUCUCUUUUUCAGUUUGCUGAAAAGAUCUUGCGAAAAGAGUCCAUAGACUUUCCGUCUACCAAAAAGGCCGUAAACACACACAGGCUGCAAAUUGCCACCACUCUCCUCCUAGAGACAGAUGACUUGACAAACAUCUGUCUUUUCUGCGGAGAAGAAGAGCAUGAAACUGACAACAAAUGGAUUCAGUGUGAGAUGUGUUUGCGGUGGUUCCACCAGCUGUGCGUGAAAAGCCCACCACCAGAAGACGUGUUCAUUUGUUUUGCUUGUACAUAGUUGACACUAAAGGUCCACAGCUAGUGUUCUUAUGGCACACAUUGUUGAGAACAUACAUAUCUACAUAUAUAUAUGUAGAUGUUAAAAUAAGAAGUCUAAAAAAGGAAAAUGGUCUCCAAAAAUACUGUAGUUAUUAGUUAUGUGAUUUAUUUCGCAAAUAAACUCUUUCGUGAUUGCACC
Molecule: RNA transcript, 2134 nt
Organism: Oreochromis niloticus (Nile tilapia)
Lineage: Eukaryota; Metazoa; Chordata; Actinopteri; Cichliformes; Cichlidae
Gene name: sentrin-specific protease 2
Exons: 10
Source: RefSeq, a predicted model, not a curated record